RNAcentral lists this long non-coding RNA (468 nucleotides) under Homo sapiens (human). Its description in RNAcentral is "HSALNT0407248". The record is from RNAcentral. Lineage: Eukaryota; Metazoa; Chordata; Mammalia; Primates; Hominidae.
AAAAGGAGGAGGAGGAGAAGAAGGAGGAGAAGGAGAAGGAGGAGGAGAAGGAGAAGAAGAAGAAGAAGGGAGGAUUCCUGAGUUUCAGAGCUGUGCAGGACUUCAUCAGCAACCUCUUCCAGCUGCUAAAAUUCCCAUAGAUGAAAGACCCCAGGCAACUCAUUGUGAAGAUGCCCACCCCACCACUGGGUGAUUCCUUAUGGAGAACUAUAGAGCAUUCCCAGCCUUAGCCCAGAUCGUCACUUUCUCUUCUGUGCAUUUGAGAAGCAAGCAGGCGUCUCUCCAGCAUCUGCAGCUCUAGGUUCCACCCCAUAAUUUUACAGAAGAGACAGACAUGCAAUUAAGAUGACCUGCCUGGGGCCCACAACAUUAGAUCAUUUCCUCAUAUAGCAUGAAUUUGACAAAGUUCACAGAAAAUGGAACGUACUCACAGGGUGCCAUCAAAACAAAAAGGCUGGCUCAGAAUCA